GGGCCCGCACAAGCGGUGGAGCAUGUGGAUUAAUUCGAAGCAACGCGAAGAACCUUACCUAGCCUUGACAUCCUUGGAACCUGCCCCAAAAGGCGGGGUGUCCUUCGGGAAAUCAAGUGACAGGUGCUGCAUGGCUGUCGUCAGCUCGUGUCGUGAGAUGUUGGGUUAAGUCCCGCAACGAGCGCAACCCUUGUCUUUAGUUGCCAUCAUUUAGUUGGGCACUCUAGAGAGACUGCCGGUGUCAAGCCGGAGGAAGGUGGGGACGACGUCAAGUCAUCAUGGCCCUUACGGCUAGGGCUUCACACGUGCUACAAUGGGCGGUACAAAGGGUCGCGAAACCGCGAGGUGGAGCUAAUCCCAAAAAGCCGCUCUCAGUUCGGAUUGGAGUCUGCAACUCGACUCCAUGAAGUCGGAAUCGCUAGUAAUCGUGGAU
RNAcentral lists this ribosomal RNA (433 nucleotides) under uncultured bacterium. RNAcentral's name for it is "bacterial SSU rRNA". It matches the Rfam family "Bacterial small subunit ribosomal RNA", at positions 917 to 1349 of the family's 1533-position model. The record is from RNAcentral.